Brassica napus (rape) is the source of this 1759-nucleotide long non-coding RNA. RefSeq lists it as uncharacterized. The record is from RefSeq and is a predicted model, not a curated record. The transcript is spliced from 6 exons. NCBI's taxonomy places the organism in Eukaryota, Viridiplantae, Streptophyta, Magnoliopsida, Brassicales, Brassicaceae.
CCCUAUAGCUUUGGUCGCCGACUUCUUUUUGAUCCUUUUCCUUGGAGAAACCCAGCAGCUUUCACCUCUUUAGCUUUUCCUCUGUAACGUCAACGAAUCAUAAUCGUGAUCCAUAAAGCUCCAUCAUUUAGUGCAAUAACUAUAUAAUCUAUCUCUUCUCCUCCGAUUUUGCUGAGAAGAAAUGACGUAGAAUCUAUCUUUUCCAGGUUCUGCCAAUGUCAUUAACUCUAGAUCAAGUCAAAAUGCAAAGACUCUUUAACCAACAACCUCCCAGACCUGUCCGAGGUGGUGGACGAGGUGCUGGUCCUGCUGCGCCUCCUGUGAGAAGACCACGACCUCGACGCUACCCAGAUGUCAGCAUUGCAGAAUUGAUGGCUUCCCCAUCCCGGCUUCAGAUGCCUCUCAUACAUCCUGAGAAAGAAAACAAUGGGCUUUGGAUUAAGAUAUUGACAAAUGUCUAACUGACGAUUGUACUUCAAUCUACACCUCUGACUGGAGGGGAGCCUGGUACAAUUAUAGCAUGGUCUCUGAUGAGAUGAAACUUACCUGGUGGGGAGACUUUGUGCAAAAGUAUUAUUGGGACCCCAUUCAUGACAAUGUGGUGCGUUUACAUUGGAAGAAGACAAUGAUGUCGUUGAUCUCCAACAUCAUCAGCAAGCGCAAGCGGAGUGGCAAGAUACCUCCAUUCAUGAGUUCAGAGCACUGGGGUGCUUUGCAAACAUAUUGGGGUACUGAACCUGCUAGAAAGAAAAGCAAGUCUGCUUCUGAAAGCCGCUGCUCAGAUCAAGGAGGUCUAGGUCAACACAUCCACACUGCUGGUUCGACACGAUUUAUGAAGAUCAAAUAUGAUAUGAUGGUUGCUAAUGGUGGGAUUGAACCCUCGUUGAUUGAUCUUGUGAGAAAGACCCAUACUCGGAAAGAUGGCACAUUUGCAGAUGGUCGUGCAAAGAAAAUUGUAGAAGAUGUUGAAGCUGCAGUGACCCAUUCUGAAGGACUUGGCGUGGGGGGGUCUGCUGCAACAACACCAUCACCGCAACAACUUGAUAAGUUUUUUUAUUGAGGCUGUCCCACCUUACAAAGGGCGUGUUUAUGGCCUUGGCUCUGCUCAUUGUUAUUAUGGUGAUUCCACGCCUUCCACCUCAACUGCUAUCCCACGCACAAUGCAAUUGGAGACAAGGGUGACUUUCAGCGAAGGCAACAUGAGUUCCAUGCAAGGUAGCAUCAACUCCAUGCAAGGUAACAUCAACUCCAUGGCCACAGAGAUUGCUGCUAUCAUGGAAGCCUCACGAAUGCUACUGGAGGCAAAUGGGAUUGAUCCAUCAGUUGUCCUCAAAUCAACAACUACUAAUCCAGCGGAGCCAGCGCAGGAAGCAACUCCGGAGCAGCAGUCACCAACUUUAAACCGCCAAACACAAGCUCCUGCUACCACUCCGAUCAACUUGGGGGACAUGGAACCUCAGUCUUUUGGUGGAUACUUUGAGAAUGAUCUCAACCAGUAGCAUUAUGCUUAAUUUUGUUUUUGUAUUAAAUAGGACUAACGGCAUAUAGAGCGUAUGAAAUGCUCUCUUUUGGUAGAACAUAUUAACUGGUCUUUUUUAGUAGAACAUAUUAAUGUUCUUUGUUUGGUAUUAGAACAUGUGAAAGUUCUUUGUAUGCUAGAACAUAUGCAUGUUCUGUUUCUGUAAGAACAUAUGAAUGUCUGUUUGUAUGACUUCGUUUUAAUUAGAAAUAUUUCGGAUAUUAAUAUUUUGUUUUCUAA